Molecule: long non-coding RNA, 267 nt
Organism: Chelonus insularis
Lineage: Eukaryota; Metazoa; Arthropoda; Insecta; Hymenoptera; Braconidae
Exons: 3
Source: RefSeq, a predicted model, not a curated record
GAAUUAAUCUGAACGAAGUUGUGUUGAGCGGCUGCCAUAUCGUGAACAUAAACAGCUGAUAUUUAGUCUACUACCUAAAAAAGUUUGUUAGCCAGAAUUUAGCAAAGAUGAUGUUACCAGCAUGGACCCGGUUUACCGUAUUAUUUUGGACUGGAAUCAUCAUCUAUGCAAAAGACAAUGAAGACUCAAACAAAUUUUGGAAUAUAAAUGUACCUAAUCCUAUAAUGGGACCUAGUAAAAAACCAAGGGAACUAGUUGAAAAAGGUC